GCCACUGUAGUUCAGUGGUUUCAUUACUGGACUACAACUCUGGGUAAUCAGGGUUCAAAUCCCUGCUCAGCCA
Molecule: non-coding RNA, 73 nt
Organism: Phrynosoma platyrhinos (Desert horned lizard)
Lineage: Eukaryota; Metazoa; Chordata; Lepidosauria; Squamata; Phrynosomatidae
Source: the annotation of a GenBank genome assembly